AUGUCGGGGCGGCGCGGGCGCGGGCGCGGGCCGCCGACGCAGGCGGACCGCCUGAUGCGCGGGGCCAUCGACCACUUCGGACGGAUGGGCUACGCCGAGGCCGACAUCCGCAGCACCGUCGGGCAACUCAUCGAGGUCUAUGGUGAGGAUGCUUCGUCGUUCCUGAAGGAAGAUGACUACCGGGUCGUGCAGGACGCACUAUUUGAGAAGCAGGAGCAGGAAGAGCAGCAGCAGGAGCCUAAACAAAAGGAAGCAGCAAUCUCUGAGGCACCAACAGCAAGUGACAUGCCAAUUGUGGACAUGCACAAUGAGAUGCCACCUGGGGCUGAGUUAUCAGUUGAGGGAGCAGACCCUAUGCCCAUCGACCCGCCUGCUCCUGAGGCUACAAUGGCACAUCCUGCAGCUACAGGAACUAGUAGAGCAAGGCGUCCCUGCUAUGGAUGGAUUAGCGAAUCUGAGAGUGAUUCGGACUAUGAAGAAUACCUCGCCAGUCGACGACAGGCGACGCAUGCUCCAAUCCCAGGAAGCGGCUGA
RNAcentral lists this ribosomal RNA (534 nucleotides) under Triticum aestivum (bread wheat). RNAcentral describes it as "partial small subunit ribosomal RNA". Lineage: Eukaryota; Viridiplantae; Streptophyta; Magnoliopsida; Poales; Poaceae. The record is from RNAcentral.